RNAcentral lists this long non-coding RNA (1583 nucleotides) under Homo sapiens (human). RNAcentral describes it as "HSALNT0095388". Lineage: Eukaryota; Metazoa; Chordata; Mammalia; Primates; Hominidae. The record is from RNAcentral.
CUCGCGAUCCAGUUCUGUGUCCAGCACCAGCUCUGGAAUAGCGACGGGGUUCCCAGCCUGCCAGAGUCACUUCCAGUAAAAGAAGGAGAAUCAGGACUUGCCUUUGUUCGGGAAAGCGCUCCCCUGCAGGCUCCAUCUUUACUUCUGUACACGCCCCUUUCAAGGAACCGGAGUCAGAGCUACUUCAGGGAGCGAUGGGACAGAGGCAGUGAUCGAUCUGUGCGUUGAUAACCUGUUCGGAAAUGUAGGAGAAUAGCAUUCUCCGGAGACACUGGUCCGUGCUCUGCUAACAGGCUUUCCUCUUAGGCUGAAAGAGGUCUGAAGUAGCUAGUAGCAUUUCAUGGGCUUUUUCCUUUUCCUUUUUUUGAAGCCUUAGCCUGCAGCGCCACCAUGCGUUGUCUUUGCUUCGAAACGAAUUGCUACAAUUGAUCUAUUCUCUAUUCUAUUAGGAGUUUGGAAAUUGGGAGGAAAUGAUGUAAUCACAAUAUCACGCAAUGGUAAUUAUUAAUUUCUUCAUUUAAAGGAGUAUUAUUGGUCUCUAUGUGCCAAAUUAUGAAAUACAUCAGUAAACAACCCAGACAUGGUCCCCACCCUCCAGAGCCUGUAGUCUGGGUGUAGUGUUCUGAGGGAAAUUGAGAAGUGAAAGAAGACAUAAUAGUGAUCAGUCAUCUUGUAAUAAUAAUAACAUAAAGCCACGUGAUUUCUUAAAAAUUUAUCAGCAAAACAAAAUGAAUUCUUUAAUUUCUUUCAAAUUCUAGACAGCCUAUGUACCAGAAUUGUGCUCCCAUUGGUUGGAUUACAUCAAGAAAAAGCUACACGUUAAUUCCAGUGUGGUAUCCUUUCUACAUAAAGUCAGAGAGUUAUGAUUUUAUGAAAAUUUUAAACUGUGGAAAAAUACAUAUGAAGGCACUUCCUAUAUCUCUUACUUUGCUUUUUCUUUUUUUUCUUUUCAUUUUUCCUUUUUUUUUUUUUGAGAUGGGGUCUUGCUCUGUUGUCCAGGAGGGAGUGCAGUGGCACAAUCACUGCUCAUUGCAGCCUUGACUACCCAGGCUCAAGCAAUCCCCCCACCUCAGCAACUGUAGCUGGGACCACAGUUGCGCAUCACCAUGCCUGGCUAAUGUUUUAAUUAUUUGUAAAGAUGAGGUCUUGCUAUGUUGCCCGGGCUGGUCUCAAAUUUCCGAGCUCAAGCAAUCCUCCUGCCUCAGCCUCCCAAAGUGCUGGGGUUAUAGGCAUGAGCUGCUGUACCCAGCCCUGCCUUGUCUCUCUCGUAUUUAUUAUCUGACGUAGUAUAGAUGUACUUAUUUAGUUGUUUCCUUUCUGUUUCAACCUCACAUGUUAGAACUUCAUUUUGUUCACUGCUGCAUCCCCAAUAUCUAAAAUAAUCCCUGGCACAUGGUACGUGCUCAAUAAAUAUUUGUUAAAUGGAUCCAUUAAUAAAUCACAAUUAAUUUAAACAUUCUGACAGAUAGGUUCUCCUCCUACUGUAGAAAUUCCCUCUUCUUCUGGGAUUCAAGUUCAUUAUAUAAGAUGGAUAAACAAAGACAACAUGUUCAUAAGGUAGCUAUUUCCUAUGCCCUUUAAAU